GGGUUGUGAGGUUAAGCGACUAAGCGUACACGGUGGAUGCCCUGGCAGUCAGAGGCGAUGAAGGACGUGCUAAUCUGCGAUAAGCGUCGGUAAGGUGAUAUGAACCGUUAUAACCGGCGAUUUCCGAAUGGGGAAACCCAGUGUGAUUCGUCACACUAUCAUUAACUGAAUCCAUAGGUUAAUGAGGCGAACCGGGGGAACUGAAACAUCUAAGUACCCCGAGGAAAAGAAAUCAACCGAGAUUCCCCCAGUAGCGGCGAGCGAACGGGGAGCAGCCCAGAGUCUGAAUCAGUGUGUGUGUUAGUGGAAGCGUCUGGAAAGGCGCGCGAUACAGGGUGACAGCCCCGUACACAAAAAUGCACAUGCUGUGAGCUCGAUGAGUAGGGCGGGACACGUGGUAUCCUGUCUGAAUAUGGGGGGACCAUCCUCCAAGGCUAAAUACUCCUGACUGACCGAUAGUGAACCAGUACCGUGAGGGAAAGGCGAAAAGAACCCCGGCGAGGGGAGUGAAAAAGAACCUGAAACCGUGUACGUACAAGCAGUGGGAGCACGCUUAGGCGUGUGACCGCGUACCUUUUGUAUAAUGGGUCAGCGACUUAUAUUCUGUAGCAAGGUUAACCGAAUAGGGGAGCCGAAGGGAAACCGAGUCUUAACUGGGCGUUAAGUUGCAGGGUAUAGACCCGAAACCCGGUGAUCUAGCCAUGGGCAGGUUGAAGGUUGGGUAACACUAACUGGAGGACCGAACCGACUAAUGUUGAAAAAUUAGCGGAUGACUUGUGGCUGGGGGUGAAAGGCCAAUCAAACCGGGAGAUAGCUGGUUCUCCCCGAAAGCUAUUUAGGUAGCGCCUCGUGAA
RNAcentral lists this ribosomal RNA (854 nucleotides) under Escherichia coli. Its description in RNAcentral is "partial 23S ribosomal RNA". It matches the Rfam family "Bacterial large subunit ribosomal RNA", at positions 1 to 888 of the family's 2925-position model. The record is from RNAcentral. Lineage: Bacteria; Pseudomonadati; Pseudomonadota; Gammaproteobacteria; Enterobacterales; Enterobacteriaceae.